GAUGAACGCUGGCGGCGUGCCUAAUACAUGCAAGUCGAGCGAACAGACGAGGAGCUUGCUCCUCUGACGUUAGCGGCGGACGGGUGAGUAACACGUGGAUAACCUACCUAUAAGACUGGGAUAACUUCGGGAAACCGGAGCUAAUACCGGAUAACAUGUUGAACCGCAUGGUUCAACAGUGAAAGACGGUCUUGCUGUCACUUAUAGAUGGAUCCGCGCCGCAUUAGCUAGUUGGUAGGGUAACGGCUUACCAAGGCAACGAUGCGUAGCCGACCUGAGAGGGUGAUCGGCCACACUGGAACUGAGACACGGUCCAGACUCCUACGGGAGGCAGCAGUAGGGAAUCUUCCGCAAUGGGCGAAAGCCUGACGGAGCAACGCCGCGUGAGUGAAGAAGGUCUUCGGAUCGUAAAACUCUGUUAUUAGGGAAGAACAAAUGUGUAAGUAACUAUGCACGUCUUGACGGUACCUAAUCAGAAAGCCACGGCUAACUACGUG
RNAcentral lists this ribosomal RNA (497 nucleotides) under uncultured bacterium. RNAcentral's name for it is "partial 16S ribosomal RNA". It matches the Rfam family "Bacterial small subunit ribosomal RNA", at positions 28 to 507 of the family's 1533-position model. The record is from RNAcentral.